AUUGAACGCUGGCGGCAUGCCUAACACAUGCAAGUCGAACGAGUGGCGGACGGGUGAGUAAUGUCUGGGCAACUGCCUGAUGGAGGGGGAUAACUACUGGAAACGGUAGCUAAUACCGCAUACCAUCGGAUGUGCCCAGAUGGGAUUAGCUAGUUGGUGGGGUAACGGCUCACCAAGGCGACGAUCCCUAGCUGGUCUGAGAGGAUGACCAGCCACACGGGAACUGAGACACGGUCCAGACUCCUACGGGAGGCAGCAGUGGGGAAUAUUGGACAAUGGGCGCAAGCCUGAUGCAGCCAUGCCGCGUGUAUGAAGAAGGCCUUCGGGUUGUAAAGUACUUUCAGCGGGGAGGCGUUACCCGCAGAGGAAGCACCGGCUAACUACGUGCCAGCAGCCGCGGUAAUUC
Molecule: ribosomal RNA, 406 nt
Filed under: uncultured bacterium
Lineage: Bacteria
Description: partial 16S ribosomal RNA
Rfam family: Bacterial small subunit ribosomal RNA
Source: RNAcentral